UCAUCAACCCACUAAUUUGGUCCUACCCAGCAAUGGCUCAAUGCACAACUAUUGCCCACAGCAGACUAAAAUUACUUCAGCUUUCAAAUACAUUAACACUGUGAUAUCUUGUACUAUUUUCAUCGUGGGAAUGGUGGGGAAUGCAACUCUGCUCAGGAUCAUUUACCAGAACAAAUGUAUGAGGAAUGGCCCCAACGCGCUGAUAGCCAGCCUUGCCCUUGGAGACCUUAUCUAUGUGGUCAUUGAUCUCCCUAUCAAUGUAUUUAAGGUACAGAGCAGUUGCCUCCUGGAGUCGUGUUCAGGGAAUUGGGAUUCCUUUGGUAACUGCCAUUGAAAUUGUCUCCAUCUGGAUCCUGUCCUUUAUCCUGGCCAUUCCUGAAGCGAUUGGCUUCGUCAUGGUACCCUUUGAAUAUAGGGGUGAA
RNAcentral lists this small RNA (422 nucleotides) under Pongo abelii (Sumatran orangutan). RNAcentral's name for it is "processed transcript". The record is from RNAcentral. Lineage: Eukaryota; Metazoa; Chordata; Mammalia; Primates; Hominidae.